RNAcentral lists this ribosomal RNA (933 nucleotides) under uncultured delta proteobacterium. RNAcentral describes it as "bacterial SSU rRNA". It matches the Rfam family "Bacterial small subunit ribosomal RNA", at positions 8 to 942 of the family's 1533-position model. The record is from RNAcentral. Lineage: Bacteria; Deltaproteobacteria.
AGAGUUUGAUCCUGGCUCAGAAUGAACGCUGGCGGCGUGCCUAACACAUGCAAGUCGUACGAGAAAGGGGCUUCGGCCCUGAGUAGAGUGGCGCACGGGUGAGUAACGCGUGGGUAAUCUCCCCUUGGAUUUGGGAUAACUCUGCGAAAGUGGAGCUAAUACCGGAUAGUCUGGCUUUAAUUGAUAAGUCGGUAAAGGAUGCCUCUGCAUAUGCAUUCGUCCAAGGAUGAGCCCGCGUCUCAUUAGCUAGUUGGUAGGGUAAUGGCCUACCAAGGCAACGAUGAGUAGCUGGUCUGAGAGGAUGAUCAGCCACACUGGAACUGAAACACGGUCCAGACUCCUACGGGAGGCAGCAGUGGGGAAUAUUGCGCAAUGGGCGAAAGCCUGACGCAGCAACGCCGUGUGAGGGAUGAAGGCUUUCGGGUCGUAAACCUCUGUCGGAAGGGAAGAACGGGCAUUGGUCUAAUAGGCCUUUGUUUUGACGGUACCUUUAGAGGAAGCACCGGCUAACUCCGUGCCAGCAGCCGCGGUAAUACGGAGGGUGCAAGCGUUAUUCGGAAUUACUGGGCGUAAAGCGCACGUAGGCCGCUUUGUAAGUCAGGGGUGAAAUCCCACGGCUCAACCGUGGAACUGCCCUUGAAACUGCAGAGCUUGAAUCCUGGAGAGGGUGGCGGAAUUCCUGGUGUAGGAGUGAAAUCCGUAGAUAUCACGCAGAACGCCGAUAGCGAAGCAGCUCGCCGGGCCGACAUCGACGCUGAGUGCGAAAGCGUGGGGAGCAAACAGAUUAGAUACCCUGNAGUCCACGCUGUAAACGAUGGAUGCUAGAUGUCGGGAGUAUUCUUCGUGUCGUAGUUAACGCGUANCAUCCCGNCUGGGGAGUACGUCCGCAAGCUGAACUCAAGAAAUGACGGGGCNGCNNGCGGUGGAGUAUGU